This 505-nucleotide ribosomal RNA is filed under the name uncultured bacterium. RNAcentral describes it as "bacterial SSU rRNA". It matches the Rfam family "Bacterial small subunit ribosomal RNA", at positions 1 to 507 of the family's 1533-position model. The record is from RNAcentral.
UACGUAGUUUGACUCCGUGGCUCAGGACGAACGCUGGCGGCGUGCCUAACACAUGCAAGUCGAACGAUGAAGUUAUGACGGAGGCUUCGGCCGACAGAAUAAUGGAAUAGUGGCGGACGGGUGAGUAACGCGUGAGUAACCUGCCUUUCAGAGAGGAAUAACAUUUGGAAACGAAUGGUAAUACCACAUAACAUUACGUUCUCGCAUGGGGAUGUAAUCAAAGAUUUUAUCGCUGAGAGAUGGACUCGCGUCCGAUUAGCUAGAUGGUGAGGUAACGGCCCACCAUGGCGACGAUCGGUAGCCGGACUGAGAGGUUGAACGGCCACAUUGGGACUGAGACACGGCCCAGACUCCUACGGGAGGCAGCAGUGGGGAAUAUUGCACAAUGGGGGAAACCCUGAUGCAGCAACGCCGCGUGAAGGAAGACGGUCUUCGGAUUGUAAACUUUUGUUCUUGGUGAAGAAAAAUGACGGUAGCCAAGGAGGAAGCCACGGCUAACUACGUG